GGGCACUCUGAUGGGACGUGCCGGUGACAAACCGGAGGAAGGUGGGGAUGACGUCAAGUCCUCAUGGCCCUUAUAGGUGGGGCUACACACGUCAUACAAUGGCCGGUACAAAGGGCAGCAAACCCGCGAGGGGGAGCCAAUCCAUCAAAGCCGGUCGUAGUCCGGAUCGCAGUCUGCAACUCGACUGCGUGAAGUCGGAAUCGCUAGUAAUCGUGGAUCAGCAUGUCACGGUGAAUACGUUCCCGGGUCUU
RNAcentral lists this ribosomal RNA (251 nucleotides) under uncultured Hydrogenophaga sp. RNAcentral's name for it is "partial 16S ribosomal RNA". It matches the Rfam family "Bacterial small subunit ribosomal RNA", at positions 1133 to 1382 of the family's 1533-position model. The record is from RNAcentral. Lineage: Bacteria; Pseudomonadati; Pseudomonadota; Betaproteobacteria; Burkholderiales; Comamonadaceae.